Camelus ferus (Wild Bactrian camel) is the source of this 72-nucleotide transfer RNA. It matches the Rfam family "tRNA". From Rfam's summary of the family: Transfer RNA (tRNA) molecules are approximately 80 nucleotides in length. Their secondary structure includes four short double-helical elements and three loops (D, anti-codon, and T loops). NCBI's taxonomy places the organism in Eukaryota, Metazoa, Chordata, Mammalia, Artiodactyla, Camelidae. The record is from Rfam.
GCGGGUGUAGCUCAGUGGUAGAGUGCAUGCUUAGCAUGCACAAGGUCCUGGGUUCAAUCCCCAGUCCCUCCU